This 296-nucleotide ribosomal RNA is filed under the name uncultured Alphaproteobacteria bacterium. RNAcentral's name for it is "partial 16S ribosomal RNA". It matches the Rfam family "Bacterial small subunit ribosomal RNA", at positions 40 to 331 of the family's 1533-position model. Lineage: Bacteria; Pseudomonadati; Pseudomonadota; Alphaproteobacteria. The record is from RNAcentral.
UAGCCGGCAGGCCUAAUACAUGCAAGCCGAACGGUAACAGGUCCUUCGGGACGCUGACGAGUGGCGUACGGGUGCGUAACGCGUAGGCAACCUACCGUUGACUGGGGGAUAGCCCGGGGAAACCCGGAUUAAUACCCCAUAGUAUUACUGAAUCACCUGGUUUAGUAAUUAAAGAUCUAUUGGUCAACGAUGGGCCUGCGUCAGAUUAGCUAGUUGGUGAGGUAACGGCUCACCAAGGCGACGAUCUGUAGGGGGUCUGAGAGGAUGAUCCCCCACACUGGUACUGAGAUACGGAC